GACGAACGCUGGCGGUGUGCUUAACACAUGCAAGUCGAACGGAAAGGCCCUGCUUUUGUGGGGUGCUCGAGUGGCGAACGGGUGAGUAACACGUGAGUAACCUGCCCUUGACUUUGGGAUAACUUCAGGAAACUGGGGCUAAUACCGGAUAGGAGCUCCUGCUGCAUGGUGGGGGUUGGAAAGUUUCGGCGGUUGGGGAUGGACUCGCGGCUUAUCAGCUUGUUGGUGGGGUAGUGGCUUACCAAGGCUUUGACGGGUAGCCGGCCUGAGAGGGUGACCGGCCACAUUGGGACUGAGAUACGGCCCAGACUCCUACGGGAGGCAGCAGUGGGGAAUAUUGCACAAUGGGCGGAAGCCUAAUGCAGCAACGCCGCGUGCGGGAUGACGGCCUUCGGGUUGUAAACCGCUUUCGCCUGUGACGAAGCGUGAGUGACGGUAAUGGGUAAAGAAGCACCGGCUAACUACGUG
Molecule: ribosomal RNA, 468 nt
Filed under: uncultured bacterium
Lineage: Bacteria
Description: partial 16S ribosomal RNA
Rfam family: Bacterial small subunit ribosomal RNA
Source: RNAcentral